GGCUGGUCCGAAGGUAGUGAGUUAUCUCAAUUGAUUGUUCACAGUCAGUUACAGAUUGAACUCCUUGUUCUACUCUUUCCUCCCUUCUCACUACUGCACUUGACUGGUCUUUU
This 113-nucleotide Y RNA is filed under the name Rhinolophus ferrumequinum (greater horseshoe bat). Its description in RNAcentral is "Y RNA (ENSRFEG00010006654.1)". It matches the Rfam family "Y RNA". From Rfam's summary of the family: Y RNAs are components of the Ro ribonucleoprotein particle (Ro RNP), in association with Ro60 and La proteins. The Y RNAs and Ro60 and La proteins are well conserved, but the function of the Ro RNP is not known. Lineage: Eukaryota; Metazoa; Chordata; Mammalia; Chiroptera; Rhinolophidae. The record is from Rfam by way of RNAcentral.